CCAACGCGGAUACCCCUUGGAAGUCACUCUCCUCGGGCUCUGUCCACGUGGCGCAGGGGAGCAUAGGGCCCUGCCCAGUGAUGUAAAGUCCCUUUCCACAACGUUGGACAUGAAGCUGGGCCUUGAGCCUACGCCUGCAUAUUCCUACAACUUCUCAGAGUCCUGUGGACAAUGACUGAGGAGACAAACCAUGCAGGAAACAGCC
This is a small nucleolar RNA of Choloepus hoffmanni (Hoffmann's two-fingered sloth), 205 nucleotides long. Its record names the gene SNORA73. It matches the Rfam family "Small nucleolar RNA SNORA73 family". From Rfam's summary of the family: U17 (SNORA73A and SNORA73B) also known as E1 belongs to the H/ACA class of small nucleolar RNAs (snoRNAs). Vertebrate U17 is intron-encoded and ranges in length from 200-230 nucleotides, longer than most snoRNAs. It is one of the most abundant snoRNAs in human cells and is essential for the cleavage of pre-rRNA within the 5' external transcribed spacer (ETS). NCBI's taxonomy places the organism in Eukaryota, Metazoa, Chordata, Mammalia, Pilosa, Megalonychidae. The record is from Ensembl.